CCUUAUAAAAAAAUCCAUACCUUUAUCCUUUUAGAAACUUGAAAGAAGUUGUAUCUAGAAAAUCAAACCUGACCCUCUUUCUCUCUGUUCCUCGAUCAAUCCUUUUUUUUCAGAUUUUAUUUUGCACGUCGGCUCGAUCUCGAUCUUUCCUUCACUUCUAUUGUCUCCCAUCUCCUUUCCACUCAUUUCUUUUGCGUUCUUUAUUCGUUCUCUGUUUCUCUCUUUUUCUCCCUGUUUCUCUUGCUCUUUCUCUUCCUCUUUCUUUACCUCUCGUGACCGAGGCCCCGGCCGUUCCUCUCGCGGCCUUGAGCCGUCGUAGUCGACGAGAUGAAGCGAGCCAUUUCUAUUCCCUUUAAAGAACUAAUGCAUGUUUUCGAAAAGUAUAGCAACAUACAUGUUUGUGUUUGCUUUGUAUUCCACGGUUAAUACACGCGAGUAUCGAUGAUGGACGCAUGACUCUACGUAUCGUAGUUCGUAUGCUUCGCGAAUCGAACUCGUCGUGCGAAUAUGUACAUCUCUCCUCGAUAUAAACGCGAAUGUAUACGUGUGAAUACGUAUGAAUGCGAGACAAGUCUUGCACGCAUGUAUGCGAAUGUAUAUGAAAGUCCACUCCUCUUCUUCGUGUAUUAGUGUAUAUACAAUAUAGUGGUAUGUAUAUGUGUCCUCCGUUCAUGGGUGUCUCUCUACGGACCGAACAAGAGCGUCGUGGACGUGCGCGUGUGCAUCGUCCUGCUGGGAGUUCUCAGUAUGCGGCGCGGUCGUCAUUGGAAAAUCAAUACCAGACGGCACUAAUCAGCUGGCCUGAGAUCUGUCAUUAGAACUCGCCAGAUAAACGUGCUCAUCGUUCAACCGGACUAUUCCCGCCUUUCGUUUUUCCUAAUUUUAUCCAUUUUCACUUGACGACUCGCUUCUUAAGAUUUCUUAAGAAUCGUUGGCUUAAAAAUUUUAUAUUUGCAAAAUCAAUGAAAAAGAAUGAUAAUCUUAUAAAUACUUUUUUUUCGUUUAUCAUAUGCUUUCUUCUCCACCGUUCAACUCUUUAUCCUCUCUACUCUACUCGCUAUCUUUGAUACUAUAUUUAUCCUGAAAUAAGCGCAAUACUUUUAUUGCAUCCAUUUAAAUCUCCCUUUCCCUACAUGCUCUCUCUCUUGACUAAGGAUCUUUGUACAGUUAUAGAUAGAAAAUUUUAUAAUAGAGACUCUUUCCUCUGUUCGAUAAUCGAUUUUGGACUACGAUACUUUUUUUUCUUUUAGCGACCUCUUACGGUAGAAAGGAAGAAGCGUUUUACAAUCAACAUGGUCUCGGCCGAAAUUUAUUAAAAACUGAACAUUUCUAUCAUUUAAUUGUAACAAAUUCUUUCAAAAAAAAUUAAUCGUUGAGCAAACAAGAAUUACAAAAUACAUUUUACAAACGAAUUUAACAUUUGUAGUGUAAUCUUUUAAAAAUCAAGAGGAAUCUAUCGCAAUUUACAAAGUAUAUCUUCCGUUCGUCAUCUUCGUCAAGGAAUGAGAAAGAGAAAGGAACGAGAGCACGUGAAAGGAAGGGAGAGGGAAGAAUAAUGGAACGAAACAAAUAGUCAAGGAGAGAGCUUUUCAUAGCUAGCUGUACUAGCGCGAUCGAUGAGUCAGACUAGGGAUUUUUUUGCGAACUUUCGAUUGCUCAAUUCGAUUCAGCACGAUGUUAGCACGCGGUUUCCUGAAUUCGUUCAAGAUGGACAAAGUUACACGAUUUCACCGUCGACUGUCGUCGUCAUCGUCGCUAGUCGUCAUGUUCUCCCGAGAGAUCAUUCAUGCUCGACGAAUCGCAACGUAUCCAGGUUGCAAGAUCAAUUUAAAUAUCCCUGUGCUCUCGCGAGCAGAGUGACGCUAGUAAAAAUUACCAAGCCUGACUCUCAUACGAGUCACGCAGGAGAAAAAUCGUCCCUUGUGGGCUAUAAAAGAACCCCAUGUUCCACACCUCUUCUCCCCCUCUCUCACCCCUCUUCUGCCUCUUUUCCUGCGCUGCAAGCUGGUUCGGGUACGACGUUGCAAAAUCGAUAACGGCGUCGUUGCUAAUCGGAUGCCUCGAUACGAGGUGCAUUGCUCGGGAAACGAAUUUUUCCGUCAUUCUUCUCCUUCUCUUGCAUCAAUAUCAAACUUAAUACUGUGUGUGUUGUCGUUGUCGUUUUUCCUUAUCUAUCGUACCGUGGCUUGGACAAUGCGUCGACGAAAUUCUUCGACGACGUAACACGCAGUAGGCGUGGCGAAUCGAAUCGUUCGUUACCAAGGCGAGAAAGAGAUAGAGCGAUGACAAAAGAGAUAGAGAAGUAAAAGAAGCGUGGAAUGAAUGUGUACAGGUUAGAUCAUUGUCAGUUACCCUUCGAGUUUUUUUUUCACCUUGAAAUUGUCCGUUAACAUAUCGGAAAUUUUCAAGCUUCAUCAUACCUAUACACACGUCUAUCGACGAUUUUCGUUCGAUUUCGAACUUAGCUGCACUGACGUGAUCUUCCAAGAAUAUAUCAUGAUGCAGAGUAUGUUUCCACAUGAAAUUGCGAAUUAUAGCCGACUUUCAAAAGAUUCGUUUCAUAGUGCGUAACUUGAUUGUUUUGUAACAUUAUCUUUUUUUACCGAUAAUGAAAGUUUAAUUAUAAUAAUCUAAUAAAUCUUAUGAUACUGUUUACAAUAUACUAUUAUUCUAAGUAAUAUACUAGUUAUUAUUAGAAGUAAAAUAAUACAACGAUAUGAAUUUUUCAAAAUUCAUUUUUUUAGAAAAAAAAUUUUUUUUUUUUUCAGACAAAAUUGAAAUUGUAUAUGCAAGAAAUUGUAUAUGACGUUUCAAAUUAUUAUUCGCAUGUUACCAAUACGUCUUAAAUAUCGUUGUAAAACUAUCUUCGAAUUUGAUACACAAAAGUAUCUAUUCUUUCAUACAUACCAAUUGAAUAAAAUCUUAAAAUAUAUGUAUCAUUAUAUAUUUCCUAUCGUUAUUUUUAAAAUUUUUACAAAAAAUAAGUAGAAUGUAACGUUACGUAAUCUCGAUCAAUGUUUCUUUACUAUAUAAAGUUCUUCGUUAAUUAAAAUUAUGCGUUAUAUUCCAUAAAAAAAUAGGAGAAAAUAAUUCGCACAGGGCGUGGAACUAUAAUACUUCUUACGUGAGAUUGUAAAAUAAACGCCUGUAUAGGUAUAUAGGAUACGUGCUUCUGGAAGAUUGGAUUUCAGUUGCUUUUCGUGCGGCCGACUAGCGUCUCAAUUUUCAUGUUCUCGCACUUUUUACAUCUAACAAUUUUACAUUUUUUUCUUCCGUUGCGUAUUGUAGUUUAUUUGGAUAGCUAAAAAUAAACGUGUAUCAAGCAGGGCGAUGUGUAAAUUCCGGUAAACACAAAGGAAUAAAAAAAAAAUGGUCUAAACCAAUUCGAUUCCAACGAUACGUAGAAUCGAAAUUUCGAAUAUUUUAUCAUCGAUUCGUUCAACUUGCUUCUUCGUCACAGCUUAAUUGCAGUAACGCGUCUUCUUGAAAUGAGAUCAAUUAAGUUAACGCAUGUGCAUUGCUUGCUUUUUUAAAACUGUGGAUAUAUUGCGAUAAAUCGUGUAAGAAAAAAAAAAUGCGCAUGCAAAAUCUCAAACGUGAUAGCACUGCGAGACAUUUUGCGAUCGAUCGACUGCGAAGGGGGUGUGUCGAACUACCUUCCUCCCAUUCACCCUGGUUUUACGCGCUCUCUUGAGAAUUACGUAAGCUGAGAUGGUACGAAAAGAUGGUACAUCGACUUCGAACUUAUAUUAUCUCGUAACAAUUAUAUUAUUUAUGUCUUGUUUGUGUUUGAAAUGCCUUAAAUAU
Apis florea (little honeybee) is the source of this 3807-nucleotide long non-coding RNA. NCBI's taxonomy places the organism in Eukaryota, Metazoa, Arthropoda, Insecta, Hymenoptera, Apidae. The record is from RefSeq and is a predicted model, not a curated record.